Molecule: ribosomal RNA, 422 nt
Filed under: uncultured marine bacterium
Lineage: Bacteria
Description: bacterial SSU rRNA
Rfam family: Bacterial small subunit ribosomal RNA
Source: RNAcentral
AACUUUCCGCAAUGGGGAAAAGCGUGAGGGAGAAAUGCCGCAGUAGAUUGCAGGUGUAAGGAUCGAGAUCUUAUUAUCCCGGGGAAGAAGCAAUGAUACUAUUAGAGGAAUAAGCAUCGGCUAUCUUUGCGCCAGCAGUAGUUGUAAUAGAGAGGGCGCAAGUGUUAUCUAGAAGGAUUGAGCGUAGCGCGUCUGUAGGUGGUUUUUAAUUCCACCGUCAAAUCCCAGGUUCAACACUGAACAGGAAGUGGAAACUACCAAGUAGGAGUACGAAAGGGCGAAGGAAAUGUCCGGUGGGGAGUUGAAUUGGUAAGUAAUGGGAGAAAACACCGAGGGGCAAAGCACUUUGUUGGUCCGACAUUGGCAUUGGGAGAGGAAAGGUAGGGGACCCAUUUAAAUUGGUGCUCUGGGUCGUAGCGAUA